CACGGGAAACGAAAGGCCAAGCUCUCCCCGGAGCCCUGCCCCACUGCAGAAACCGGGGAAGGAAACAAACCAUCGCUCCCGAAGUGAGCUGGUGCCAUCUACAAGCAAGGAAAACACCAAGCAACGAAUUGACCGUAAAGAGGAACAAUGAAACUGACUCUAUCAAGCCCUGUAAAACGCCGCGUGACAAGGUAACCCCCAGAGACCUCCAUCAGGGCCCCGUGGGGGUAGGUGCUGGACAGAGCACACGUCCUGCCUUGCCUUGGAAAUCUUGCAGGACCAGACGCUCAGUUAAAAGGAAGGAAUUCACAUGCAAGCAACCAAACCCCAUGCAGGCAAGAGUGACACCCAGUUUAGUGUGCAGUAUUAAGCCUCUCACUUUCUCAUAGGUCUGUGCCUGUGACUCAACACUUUAUAAAUACCGAGGUAGAGAGAGGGAACUGGGAUUAGCUGUUUUGCAGAUGACUUCAGACCUUUGUAAUAAAAACACGCGGACAUUUCAGACAAUGCCAGCUACCAGGGAAUCUAUAGCGUAAUCCCCAGGAGCAAUGAAACCCUAACACAGCUGUCAAUGAAUACUGGCUCUCCUACGCAAUAUUAUCCGAGGGAGAAUUGUCCAGGAGAGCCUUGUAGGAUUGGUCCCUGAAGUUUUGAGGGACUGUAUACGCUCCCCUGGGA
This is a long non-coding RNA of Mauremys reevesii (Reeves's turtle), 678 nucleotides long. RefSeq lists it as uncharacterized. Lineage: Eukaryota; Metazoa; Chordata; Testudines; Geoemydidae. The transcript has 3 exons. The record is from RefSeq and is a predicted model, not a curated record.